RNAcentral lists this ribosomal RNA (511 nucleotides) under uncultured bacterium. RNAcentral describes it as "bacterial SSU rRNA". It matches the Rfam family "Bacterial small subunit ribosomal RNA", at positions 886 to 1397 of the family's 1533-position model. The record is from RNAcentral.
CCGCAAGGCUGAAACUCAAAGGAAUUGACGGGGGCCCGCACAAGCGGAGGAACAUGUGGUUUAAUUCGAUGAUACGCGAGGAACCUUACCUGGGCUUAAAUGUAGAGUGCAUUGGAGGGAAACUUUCAUUUUCUUCGGAACUCUUUACAAGGUGCUGCAUGGUUGUCGUCAGCUCGUGCCGUGAGGUGUCGGGUUAAGUCCCAUAACGAGCGCAACCCUUAUCGUUAGUUGCCAGCGGGUAAUGCCGGGAACUCUAGCGAAACUGCCGGUGUAAACCGAGAGGAAGGUGGGGAUGACGUCAAAUCAGCACGGCCCUUAUGUCCAGGGCUACACACGUGUUACAAUGGCCGGUACAGAGGGGAGCUAUGCUGUGAGGCAAUGCAAAUCUCAAAAGCCGGUCUCAGUUCGGAUCGGAGUCUGCAACCCGACUCCGUGAAGCUGGAUUCGCUAGUAAUCGCGCAUCAGCCAUGGCGCGGUGAAUACGUUCCCGGGCCUUGUACACACCGCCCGU